Molecule: ribosomal RNA, 587 nt
Filed under: uncultured bacterium
Lineage: Bacteria
Description: bacterial SSU rRNA
Rfam family: Bacterial small subunit ribosomal RNA
Source: RNAcentral
CCUACGGGAGGCAGCAGUGGGGAAUUUUGGACAAUGGGCGCAAGCCUGAUCCAGCAAUGCCGCGUGCAGGAUGAAGGCCUUCGGGUUGUAAACUGCUUUUGUACGGAACGAAACGGUGAGCUCUAAUACAGUUUGCUAAUGACGGUACCGUAAGAAUAAGCACCGGCUAACUACGUGCCAGCAGCCGCGGUAAUACGUAGGGUGCGAGCGUUAAUCGGAAUUACUGGGCGUAAAGCGUGCGCAGGCGGUGAUGUAAGACAGAUGUGAAAUGCCCGGGCUCAACCUGGGACCUGCAUUUGUGACUGCAUCGCUAGAGUACGGUAGAGGGGGAUGGAAUUCCGCGUGUAGCAGUGAAAUGCGUAGAUAUGCGGAGGAACACCGAUGGCGAAGGCAAUCCCCUGGACCUGUACUGACGCUCAUGCACGAAAGCGUGGGGAGCAAACAGGAUUAGAUACCCUGGUAGUCCACGCCCUAAACGAUGUCAACUGGUUGUUGGGUCUUCACUGACUCAGUAACGAAGCUAACGCGUGAAGUUGACCGCCUGGGGAGUACGGCCGCGAAGGUUGAAACGUCAAAUGAAUUGACGG